RNAcentral lists this unclassified non-coding RNA (316 nucleotides) under uncultured fungus. RNAcentral describes it as "partial contains 5.8S ribosomal RNA and internal transcribed spacer 2". The stretch from base 1 to 133 matches the Rfam family "5.8S ribosomal RNA", at positions 22 to 154 of the family's 154-position model. Lineage: Eukaryota; Fungi. The record is from RNAcentral.
UGGUUCUCGCAUCGAUGAAGAACGCAGCGAAAUGCGAUAAGUAAUGUGAAUUGCAGAAUUUAGUGAAUCAUCGAAUCUUUGAACGCACAUUGCGCCCCUUGGUAUUCCGGGGGGCAUGCCUGUUCGAGCGUCAUUUCAACCCUCAAGCUCUGCUUGGUAUUGAGUCCUUGCCAGCAAUGGCAGGCUCCAAAAACAGUGGCGGUGCCGCUGGGUCCUGAGCGUAGUAAUACUUCUCGCUUUUGGUUCCCCGCGGUGCUCCUGCCAGAACCCCAUACUUCUUAAGGUUGACCUCGGAUCAGGUAGGGAUACCCGCUGA